GCCGAUGUGGCGAAAUCGGUUGACGCAGUUGAUUAAAAAUCUACCGCCGCAUGGUGUGCCGGUUCGAGUCCGGCCUUCGGCACCA
RNAcentral lists this transfer RNA (85 nucleotides) under Rahnella variigena. Its description in RNAcentral is "tRNA-Phe". It matches the Rfam family "tRNA". Rfam says of the family: Transfer RNA (tRNA) molecules are approximately 80 nucleotides in length. Their secondary structure includes four short double-helical elements and three loops (D, anti-codon, and T loops). Further hydrogen bonds mediate the characteristic L-shaped molecular structure. tRNAs have two regions of fundamental functional importance: the anti-codon, which is responsible for specific mRNA codon recognition, and the 3' end, to which the tRNAs corresponding amino acid is attached (by aminoacyl-tRNA synthetases). tRNAs cope with the degeneracy of the genetic code in two manners: having more than one tRNA (with a specific anti-codon) for a particular amino acid; and 'wobble' base-pairing, i.e. permitting non-standard base-pairing at the 3rd anti-codon position. The record is from RNAcentral. Lineage: Bacteria; Pseudomonadati; Pseudomonadota; Gammaproteobacteria; Enterobacterales; Yersiniaceae.